RNAcentral lists this ribosomal RNA (423 nucleotides) under uncultured bacterium. RNAcentral's name for it is "bacterial SSU rRNA". It matches the Rfam family "Bacterial small subunit ribosomal RNA", at positions 917 to 1344 of the family's 1533-position model. The record is from RNAcentral.
GGGCCCGCACAAGCGGUGGAGCAUGUGGUUUAAUUCGAUGAUACGCGAGGAACCUUACCAGGGCUUAAAUGCAGAACGACAGAGGUGGAAACACCUCCUUCUUCGGACGGUCUGCAAGGUGCUGCAUGGUUGUCGUCAGCUCGUGCUGUGAAGUGUCGGGUUAAGUCCCAUAACGAGCGCAACCCCUAUUUCUAGUUGCCAGCGGUUCGGCCGGGGACUCUAGAGAAACUGCCAGCGUAAGCUGUGAGGAAGGUGGGGAUGACGUCAAAUCAUCACGGCCCUUACGUCCUGGGCUACACACGUGCUACAAUGGUAGGGACAGAGAGUUGCCAACCCGCGAGGGUGAGCUAAUCUUCAAACCCUAUCUCAGUUCGGAUCGGAGUCUGCAACUCGACUCCGUGAAGUUGGAAUCGCUAGUAAUCG